Molecule: ribosomal RNA, 497 nt
Filed under: uncultured bacterium
Lineage: Bacteria
Description: partial 16S ribosomal RNA
Rfam family: Bacterial small subunit ribosomal RNA
Source: RNAcentral
GAUGAACGCUGGCGGCGUGCCUAAUACAUGCAAGUCGAGCGAACAGACGAGGAGCUUGCUCCUCUGACGUUAGCGGCGGACGGGUGAGUAACACGUGGAUAACCUACCUAUAAGACUGGGAUAACUUCGGGAAACCGGAGCUAAUACCGGAUAAUAUAUUGAACCGCAUGGUUCAAUAGUGAAAGACGGUUUUGCUGUCACUUAUAGAUGGAUCCGCGCCGCAUUAGCUAGUUGGUAAGGUAACGGCUUACCAAGGCAACGAUGCGUAGCCGACCUGAGAGGGGGAUCGGCCACACUGGAACUGAGACACGGACCAGACGCCUACGGGAGGCAGCAGUAGGGAAUCGUCCGCAAUGGGCGGAAGCCUGACGGAGCAAGGGCGAGUGAGUGAUGAAGGUCUUCGGAUCGUAAAACUCUGUUAUUAGGGAAGAACAAAUGUGGAAGGAACUAAGCACGUCUUGACGGUAACUGAUCAGAAAGCCACGGCUAACUACGUG